RNAcentral lists this long non-coding RNA (382 nucleotides) under Lathyrus oleraceus (garden pea). Its description in RNAcentral is "Pisum sativum (pea) long non-coding RNA (PSAT_LNC042173)". Lineage: Eukaryota; Viridiplantae; Streptophyta; Magnoliopsida; Fabales; Fabaceae. The record is from RNAcentral.
AAUAUUAAUAAUACAUUUAACAAUACUAAAUAACAAUAAUAUAUAAUGGUUAAUUAUAAUAAUGAUAAUAAUAAUAAUAAUAAGUUAAUAAUAAUAUUAAAAAUGAUAAUAAUAGAAAUAGUAAAUAAUAAUAAUAAUAAUAAUAAUAACAAUAAUAAUGGAAAUAAUAAAGAAAGAAAGAAAAAAAAUAAUAAAAAUCAUAAUAAUAGUAAUAAUAUUAUAAUACUCAAAACAACAACAAUCAGUAUAAUAUAUAAAAUAAAAUAAGAAUAAAAAAAAAGAAAAGAAAAAAACAUAAAUGAGUGGGACGUUGGAUAUUAGAGAGAGAAAAAGAUGAUUUUUAAGACCACCAACCCCUGCCUGACACGUGGCAGGGGAGCAU